AGUGCGGUUGUUAUUUACUUGGAUGCUCCUGGAACGAGAUCCACCUGCUUUUCCUGGACUCCUCCCAGGGCCUUGGUACAGAUGGGAAAAUCCAUCUUCCAUCUGCUGACUUCUGCUGCAGGUCUGUGUCUGCUCUUUAAGGCCUCUCUCGCAAACUCACAGCACCAGAGGAAGACCUGCUUCACAAGGAACUGUUCAGGAAGUGGCUCUGAGGAGGGGAGGUUGAGGAAAUCCCAAAGAAAUGGUUUGGUUCUUCCCAGCAAGGAAUGCUGGAUGCAGCCACUUCAUCCCUGGGCUCACCCCGGAAAGGUGACGACAUCACCCAGAAAUGUUCUCCUCUGAGCUGGUCCCAGGGAUGAGCUGCUGGGAGGGAUCAAACAUUUACAGCUCCGGAGGGACAGAGAGGUUUGUGCGGGCUCCAUCACCUUUGGACUCCGAGUCUGUGGUUGCCAUGUGUGCACAUUUUCAACUUUCUGCAAAAGCACCAGGAUUUGAUAUAAUGCAGGAGGAGACACUUUUAAUAAGAUCCUUAAUUGAGGCCUGUCCCUGUCAAGACAACGUGAAAACAGAUGCUAAGAUUCCUCUGCUCCUUUCUAAAAUCCUGAAUCAUAUCAUUUUAAGCAGGAAGCAUUUUUUUCAUCCAAAGAAAAGAAGAAAAAAAAAAAGAAAUUAAAAUACAACUUUUUUUAGCUGAUUGACUGUGAAAAUAGGGAUAGAACCAAGUAAAAAACUUGGUGCAAUCUUUCAAAUAUGAACCAAAUGUAUCAAAUAAGGAUUUAUCUUUCCAGUAAUCUAAACCCUACAGCUUCUCUCUGUUAAUCUAGCCCAAUGUCAAAGGUAGCCAAGCUUGGCUUAGGUUAUUGUAGAUGUUUUCUAAAACUUGGCUAGACUGCAAAUGCCAUGUGCAGUAAAAUCAAGAUCUGACAGCCAAGACAGUGCCAACUGCUUAGUUUUAGUCUGAUUAAACCUCUCUGCCCAUGUCACUCAUCUGUCACCCUGUGCCUGGUGUGAAUGACAUUAAAUAACCUGCAUUUUGUUAUGGUGUUGCUGGAAUUCAGGCUCUGAAACGCUGCAAGUCACAUUGUGUUUGCACACACUUUGAGCGUCCAGGAGAUCUGAAAAACUCAUUUCGCUCUCUUCUGCUUGGAAGGUUUCAAAACUCCUUUGGCUUUUGCGUUUGGAAGAGUUUUAAGUCACUGUGAACUCAGCAGAGCCCGAGGGACAUCACUGCCCUGGGUGUCUGUGUCACUCCCUGCUCAACCUGACCGCCUGGCUGCUGAAGGUGUUCACCUCUGAGCUGGGCAGGGCUCCUGGCAGUGCUCUGAGACCUCCACAGGGACUCCAAGAGCUCUAAAAAGAAAUCAAAUUACACUGAUAACGUGGCCUUCUGCCCAGGAGUAACUCUGCAAAGCUCUGUAUUUAACCUGAGCUUUUUCCUAGCAGAUUAUCACUGAAAAGUCAGUGGUUCUGUGAGGAAAUACAUUUUGGUGUAGAGUGGAACAGGAACUCAAGGAACAGUUUCCUUUUCUCUGGGGAGGGUGACUCAAAAUCCAGGUUCUCCUCCUCUGUUCACAGGUAAUGCUGUAUCACAGAAUCAUUUCUGUUGGAAAGGACCUUUAAAAUCAACAUGUCCAGCUGCUGAGGCUCAUCUUAACUCUUCAAAUUCUCUUCUCUCCUGGCAAGGCCUGAUGGAGCCUGUAUAAACUGGAAUCUUUGAGUCUAUAAACCACAAAUUAUCUCCCAGAAAAAUAUAAAUCACUUACUUAAAGACCAAUAGUCAUAACCAGACCAUAGUUAUGACUAUGGAAGAACUGAAAUGUUUGUGCUGCACAAUCCAGCUGGUCACAAAAAGAUCUCACCUCCCUGGAAUUAUACAAUUUACACUGAGCUCAUGUAGAAGUUGAGGCAGCAUCAAAGUUCAGGUCUGGACCUGAAAUCCCACCCAGCAUUUGAUGUGAUUUGGAAUCCCUGGUGCUCUGUGGCUGGAUUUAGGCAGGAAAAUGGUCCAGGUGCCUGAUUCUGGCCCCUGUAAGUCAUCCUUCAGCUGCCGGUCUCUCCUCCAGCACAGUGGCUUCGGUUCACACCACUGGCGCUGCAGAAAACACAUUCAAAACUCACCACAAUGAUUUGUUUUCCUUCAUUCAGACUUGCUUUUACCAGUUUUAUCAGUGCCAAGCAGGACCAGCCCUUUGAAGACUCCCUUUGAAAACCUUUCUCUUGUGAGCGUUGGGUGUCCCCUCCACGGAGCACCGCACGGGGCCAGGCCUGCCAAAACCCUCUGAGAAACUGCCCUUCCCUUCCCUCACGGCCCACACUGCCUUUUGUGGCUCACUCUUUAGAGAUCUGCAGGGAAGAACAGAUGGAAUAAAUCGUCUGCUGGUAGCCA
Long non-coding RNA from Cyanistes caeruleus (blue tit), 2386 nucleotides. Lineage: Eukaryota; Metazoa; Chordata; Aves; Passeriformes; Paridae. The record is from Ensembl.